ACCAAUUCCGGACACAAUCUCAGCACUGUGGGAGACUGAGGCACCUGCCAAACCUGCACAGAUUCCUACAGCAGCCAGUUCGCUCUGUCUCGAGGCUUCAGAGGAACACGAACUUCUCUGAUGGAAGAGCCUUGUUCUAGAAGGGAGUGAAGCCUAGGUCUUUCCUGAGCACACAGAAGAUCAAGACCACACUCACUGACUUCUCAUAGUCAAGCAAUUUUGGCCAAUUAAAUGUCAGUUGGAAACUCCUGUGUCAGCUUCUCUGUGGCGGUGAGAAGUCCCUGUGUGACAUCCCAACUCUCCCCUCACCUGCGUUGGCAACCAAGAAAGCCUUGUGUUGGAGGUGGGGCCACAAGUUUAAAGCUAAGUUACCACCUCGAGGGCACAUUCCUGGAGAGCUUCCCAGGCCCACAGUGGCACGUGUAUGAGUGACAGAUCCACUUCUUUAUUACCUUUUUGAAGAACAGGAACCUUUGUCUGGAAAUUCCACAAGUAUGCCUUUUGCAAGAUUAAAAGUGCCACAAAGAACAAAAAUGAGCCCAGGACCAGAUGCAUGUUAAAAGCCAUCAGACACGUUAAGUUUCAUCUCCAUUGACCUGCAGAAGGAGUCUCUCACCACAGCCACCACAUCUAUGCAUGUGCUGAGUCACAUGUGAAGCCAGCACAUCUCAGAGUCUCACCGAAAGCUCAUGGUGAGACAAAGAGACUAGAAGGGGUAGAGUCAGCUAACUUCUCUCCUCCCACCACUGAUGAGGUUUUGGUGAAUUCUCUUCCCUUGCUCACUUGCAGAUUCAGCAGAGUUGUCUAUAGUGGCUUAAUUGGAAUUGCUGGACAAGAACAUUGAUUCUGCUUCACUCAGGUAAAGAUGAAAGUAACUGCAACAAUGGAUAUUGCAUUUGAAGGUCAUUGAGUUGUAGUCAGGCAAGGGGAGCAGAUAUUAAAACAUACACGCACAAAAUAAUGGGAUUUUUAUUUAGCAUCUCGCAAGUCUUGAGUAACAUAGUAUUAAUUGACCUUGAGAUUUCAUUCUUUUGUGACUCAUUGCAUUUGCUUUUGUGUUUCAGAUUAAUAUAGAAUAUUUUAAAGAAAGAGUAAUACAGCCAAUUUUAAUCUCUGGGAAGUUUAUGCAAGACAUAAUUUAUUUGUAAACUUUAUAAUAAUAUGUGAAUUAAAGACCCUUGUUAGUUUGGUAUGAAUCUGACAUAAGGGCUAAAAUCACUUUUUCAUUAGCCUUCUCCUGAUCUCAGGUUUACACCUAAGAGAUUCUUCACUCCAAAGUCUUCAUUUCCAAGCACAACCUGCUGGGUGCUGCGCUUUUCUGAGGUCUCCUCCCCAGCUCUGCAUCUAGCAGUGCUCAUGAUGCAAUGAUUUCCUGUCUGACUAUCCCAUUCCUAUCCUUUGCAAAGUUCACAUAGACCCAUUUGAGUACACUUUUAGUAGCAUACCAAGUUUAAGUGCCAAAGUUGUGUUUUAGUUCUUUCAUCCAGAAAGAAAACAUCAGCUGUUUCAAAUUUUAGAGUCCAGCUUGGGCAACAAGAGAAUUGUCAUGUCGUCGAUUGUGUAGUAAGACACAGUGAGUGUCCAGCAAUGUAAAAUCAGUCUAUAAAUGAGAAGAUUAAGACCAAAAGCAUCGGGUUACAAACAUCUCACUAAAGCCCAUUAGCAGGCAGAGAGCUCUCCGCGGAGCUAGAAAAUGAGACUUUUCCCUCCUUUCUGCCCCAUACAUUAGUGCUGAUCUCAGGAGCUCAUUUUUGCACCCUUUGUGGCAGACAACCAUAUAAUCAAAGGGUUCCCAUCACUAAAUCAUUUGAAAAGACAAGUAGAAAUUAGCUUUAGCUAAUUUAACUAGCCUUUGCCCCUCCUCCUGACCCUGAGGGUGAAGCACAUUUUAUCAUUCAUCCUCUGGGGGCUGGCUUAUGCUGGCUCCCUUUCCUUUGGCAGUGAUUUUAAGCAACCAAGUUCUUAUUACAAUUCUCAAAUUUAAAAUUAAGUUCUGAUCACAUCUUCUCAGGGCAUACCUAAGAGGCAGUGUUUAUCCCCAGCCAAAUCAAUUGUUUCCUCAAGUGACUCAUUCCUGAAAAUGUUAUUGUUUCUAAUAACCAGCUCAAAUAUGUAUUUUCAUUAAUCUUUUCUUUUACCUCCAUUUCACACGUGUUGCUGCAUGUCAGGCAGUUUCCACAAGGAUCUGCCAUGACAUCAUUGUGUGAGGUAUGAAAAAAAAAUUUUUUUUUUUCUAAUUUAAGAAUUACUUUUACUCAGAUGGUGGCUGGGCUGGGAAAUGUUCCCCAUUGCCCUGGGAGUUUUAGGCCAAGGCUUGUGUGUGUGUGUGUGUGUGUGUGUGUGUUGGAAGGGUCUCUCAUUGCCUAUUUCUGCUUAUAUAACACACACUGGUUUAGGUAGGUGGAGUCAGAAUGGGAAGAGGAAGUUCCCUAAGUGUUUCUUGCAUGCAAAGGUAAGUGGAGAAUGCCCAUCUGGGCACACAGGGCAAGGAUGCAGUGGAGUGACCUCUCCUUUCCCCUCCAACUCACAUGCUGGAGUUUAAAAACUGUAUCAGGAUGACAGAAACCAAGGGGUAAGACCACGGCUUCCUCUGGGGAUCUUCUAUAAACUGUAAGAACAAACACAGGUAUUUUGUAGUUCUUUAUCACAACGGGUCCUUUGCUGAUGAUUCUAGGUUUUAUGACUGCUGUUUUAUGUCCUACAAAUAGUAACAGGCAUUUCCCUUUGCCCUACACCACAGUAAGCCACUGGCCUAGACAAGAAGCAACUCUGCACUGCUUUUCAAACAUCAUCCUCCCUCUCGACCGCAGGGACUAUUUGGUUUCUAUUCUACUUCUGGCCUUUCAUAUUCCUGAUGGUGCAUUGGAUGAAACCCCGCAGCCAGGCGUGUGAACGUGGUUGAAAAGACCCAUGGAGGACCAGCAACGCUUCCCCACAGCGUGGGAUGGUCCCCUCCUGAGAUGGCCCACUGUCAGCGGGACUGACGCCAAGCACUGCAUCCUGUCUGCUUCUUGAACAGCCCCUUCAUUGUUUGUUCAGCUAUUCUGCUGCAUCUGCAGAUAGCCCUGCCUGAGAAACAGCCUCAAACCAGAAGGAGAGGAUGGCGGCAAGCCUUAGAGAAACAUGGAUGUUAUGUGGACUUCAUUGCCUCAGAGAAAAUUCCUUUUAGGGCUGAAGGCAGAGAAAGUCAGCAUUGAUUUCUGGCCUAAGCUCUUGGGAGUUUAGAGGGUUUGUCAAGGAGCCAAAAGAGGCAAAGGGACUUGAAGAUUUGGACGGCAUGUCUCGGAGAAGUAGCCCCACUCCUAGAGGAGAUGACAUUUGGCUUGGAGGAGAAAGAGGCCUCAAAGGUUUCACAUAUCUAAGUCCAAGGAACUUGAGCUCACAGUCAGACAUCAUAAAACACACAAGGAAAGAAGGCAUCAUGAAUAAAAGCAGGAACCAAUAUUAUUAGACACAACAGAUAAAAUGACCGUAAAGAAAAUUUGGGAAUGUGUAUUUCAGGGAAAAUGAAAAUGAUCCCAAUAAAGAUCGGAGAUGCAGGAAGGAAGGAAAACAUAGAAAUUGAGCCAGUUGGAGUGUGAGGCUUCAGAAUCGCCUUCCAACUCUCUGUGCACUGCACCAGCUGCUUCCCAUAGACUCCUGGUAAAAUAUAGAGCGGAAGGAAGAAGAGCCACUACCCAUAACAUCAGUGGCUGCUAACUAAGGAGUGUUUUGACAUGCUGGUACAGCCUAUCCUCAGCUUUCCAGAAGGUGGAAUCUUGUGAUAGUGGAAAGAAGUAGAAGAGAUGAAGUACCUAUGACUCCAGGAUUUGCCAGUGAAAGAAGUCAACAAUAUUUUAACUUUGAUCUUAACCAAAAGGCCAAGAAGUGAUGCUAAUAUUUUCAUAUACUACGACAGUUGCAGACACACGUCUAUCAUAGCUGGGUAGUAAUCCAGGCAACUCUGCCACAAGUCAUGGGCUCAGCCACCAGUCCACGAAGUCUCCAGUCACACAUAUUGCUUCGGACUAUUCUCUAUCCCCAGUUGUCAAUUAACUAAAAUAUUAAAUGAGGAUGCCAUGGAGUCCCCCAACUGAUUUCAUAAAUUUGGUGUCACAUUGUAAAUCAAGCAGCUGCAGAGUGGCUGGGACAUCUGUUUGGUUCUGUUAUUCUCUUUACUCCAAAAGGAAACUAACUCCAAAAGAAGAAAACCUGAUGUCUGAGCUGAAUCCUAAUCAUGAAGAUGUUUUUCCACCAUUCCUGUCUGUGUUUUUCUACCAUUCCUGUCUGUGUUUUUCUACCAAAGUGUGCUCUUGAAGUUCUGCAUUUCCCAGGGUGUGGUGAAAGAAGAGAAAAAAAUGUCCAAGAUGACUUCAACGUUCUGACCUUGAGUGGCUUGAGUGAAUGGAGUUACAACUGUGCAGAAACCACUGAAAGCUAACUACACUGGAACACUCUCAUUUCUGCAAAGAAAAAUAUCAUAUCCCAGGAUGAAAAGGAGGAGGAAGAGGAAAGGCUAACUUAACAAGAAGCUCUUUGACAUUCUUGAAUUAGACACCCAACGUAGUCCACGCAGUACGGAGGAUGACUUCAGAAGUGCAAUUCUGAUAUGGACUUUGUCUCCCUAAGGCUUUCAGUUCCUCAUAUUUAGGAUAAAACAGAAGUUUAUGUAAAGCCAAGGGAGAGGGUCACCGGGAGAGGGAAGGAGGAACAGCAGAAGGAGAGGUCCACACAUGAAAAUACUUGGAAGCGCCCCAGGGCCUAUCAGAUGCAGGUCUUGGCGGAAAUUACCAAACAUACUUUAGACAGGCUGCUGUGUUGCUGAGUGUGGACUGGCCUCAGGGCCUGCUGAUCAAAGCAAAAGGAAGCAGUGAAAAAAACAUCACCAUGUCUUCUUAGAGUCUAAUCUGGGGGCAAGAGGCCAGCAUGCACAGUUGGUGCUGAUUUUCUUGGGCGGAUAGAGGAAAGGUGUAGGCGUGGCCAACAUUUGAGCAGCAUGUGGUUCCUCUCACACGCCAUGCUGUUUCCGGCCUCCUUGCAUUUUACUCAUGCCAUCCUCCUGGUCACUUCUUUGAGAUAUUAAGUGCAUUCUUUAGGACUCAGACUCAGCUCAAGGGUCAGUGCAUCCAUGAAGCCUUACCUGGAUCCCAGAGGGAGCUCUGUGCUCCUCCUUUGUCUCCUAUAGGACCCAGUACAUGCGUCCAGUAUUAUCCAUACACACUGAAAUGAUCUAGCAUGUGUCUUCCCAUAGGAUUUCAAAUUCUUAGAAUAUAGGAGUGAUGCCUUCUUCCUACUUAUAUUUCCAGUGUUAACAGUGCCUGUCAAUUGACUUGAAGAUAACUAAAAGUCUGGUUGUUAAGGGCUGCUUCCCACCUCCAAAUACUUCCCUGGAAGUCAUUGUAUGGGCACUGACAUUGGUAGGUCUCCACUGGCUUGUAGAUGCUUCUGAUUAUAAGGUAGUCUCAGAUGCCUUCAGAAAGUUCUAAGACUGUAUAAAACAUUUCCUUCACAACCAAUAACUGUGUAUUAUUGUUCGUGUAAUUCCAGAAGUUAUCCUUUUGAUAGAGAGCAAUUACUUUAUUGAUUGAGAGUUAGCUAAUUAUGUAAUAAAGGUAAAGAUUUGCAUAGAGAAGUGUAAGAGACAUGGAGAAGAUUCUUGGUGGGUGGUGAGGGCGGGUACAUUUACACCAGACCAAGACUGAUCUGGCUGUGGCGCUGGAGAUUAAACUGUUUAAAUAUGGGAUCCUAAGAAGACUUCUGUGCAUUCUAGACUUCAAGAGACAGAUUGCAUUUUUUUUUAGGAAAUGUAGAUAAAACCCUUUGACUGAAUGACUCUAGAAAAUAAUACUGAUUUGAGAGAGAAAGGAAAUUCUAAAACAAAAUCCUGACAGCAGAGGCAUGAAUGAUCCUCAUGAGGAAGAAAUGAGACUCUGCUUAACUACACUGUAGAUUUUGGUGUGGAAGAAGAUGGAAGGUGGGUAUAUAGCCAAAUUUUGAAUACAAUAGGGCAGCACAAAACUGUGACAACAGUGGCAGAAGGACUGAAGUACAGAAUGUGUGAAAGUUGUUGUGAAAUAAAUAGAGAGCAACAGAAAAGGACUAUUUGGGCUGGGCAAUGGUAAUCCCAGAACUUUGGGAGGCUGAGUCAGGUGGAUCACCUGAGGUCAGGAGCUCAAGA
This 6157-nucleotide long non-coding RNA is filed under the name Homo sapiens (human). Its description in RNAcentral is "HSALNT0353179". The record is from RNAcentral. Lineage: Eukaryota; Metazoa; Chordata; Mammalia; Primates; Hominidae.